This 843-nucleotide ribosomal RNA is filed under the name Listeria monocytogenes. RNAcentral describes it as "partial 23S ribosomal RNA". It matches the Rfam family "Bacterial large subunit ribosomal RNA", at positions 850 to 1694 of the family's 2925-position model. Lineage: Bacteria; Bacillati; Bacillota; Bacilli; Caryophanales; Listeriaceae. The record is from RNAcentral.
UGGUUCUCUCCGAAAUAGCUUUAGGGCUAGCCUCAAGUGAUGAUUAUUGGAGGUAGAGCACUGUUUGGACGAGGGGCCCCUCUCGGGUUACCGAAUUCAGACAAACUCCGAAUGCCAAUUAAUUUAACUUGGGAGUCAGAACAUGGGUGAUAAGGUCCGUGUUCGAAAGGGAAACAGCCCAGACCACCAGCUAAGGUCCCAAAAUAUAUGUUAAGUGGAAAAGGAUGUGGCGUUGCCCAGACAACUAGGAUGUUGGCUUAGAAGCAGCCAUCAUUUAAAGAGUGCGUAAUAGCUCACUAGUCGAGUGACACUGCGCCGAAAAUGUACCGGGGCUAAACAUAUUACCGAAGCUGUGGAUUGUCCUUUGGACAAUGGUAGGAGAGCGUUCUAAGGGCGUCGAAGCAUGAUCGCAAGGACAUGUGGAGCGCUUAGAAGUGAGAAUGCCGGUGUGAGUAGCGAAAGACGGGUGAGAAUCCCGUCCACCGAUUGACUAAGGUUUCCAGAGGAAGGCUCGUCCGCUCUGGGUUAGUCGGGUCCUAAGCUGAGGCCGACAGGCGUAGGCGAUGGAUAACAGGUUGAUAUUCCUGUACCACCUAGUAUCGUUUUAAUCGAUGGGGGGACGCAGUAGGAUAGGCGAAGCGUGCUGUUGGAGUGCACGUCCAAGCAGUAAGGCUGAGUGUUAGGCAAAUCCGGCACUCAUAAGGCUGAGCUGUGAUGGGGAGAGGAAAUUGUUUCCUCGAGUCGUUGAUUUCACACUGCCGAGAAAAGCCUCUAGAUAGAUAACAGGUGCCCGUACCGCAAACCGACACAGGUAGUCAAGAUGAGAAUUCUAAGGUGAGCGAG